UACGUAGGUGGCAAGCGUGUCCGGAUUUAUUGGGUUUAAAGGGUGCGUAGGCGGUCCGGUAAGUCCGCUGUGAAAGUCGGGGGCUCAACCCUCGAAAGCCGGUGGAUACUGUCGGGCUAGAGUGCGGAAGAGGCGAGUGGAAUUCCUGGUGUAGCGGUGGAAUGCGCAGAUAUCAGGAAGAACACCAACGGCGAAGGCAGCUCGCUGGGACGGAACUGACGCUAAGGCGCGAAAGCGUGGGAGCGAACAGG
This 251-nucleotide ribosomal RNA is filed under the name uncultured bacterium. RNAcentral describes it as "partial 16S ribosomal RNA". It matches the Rfam family "Bacterial small subunit ribosomal RNA", at positions 524 to 776 of the family's 1533-position model. The record is from RNAcentral.